UGGGGAAUAUUGCGCAAUGGGGGGAACCCUGACGCAGCCAUGCCGCGUGAAUGAAGAAGGCCUUAGGGUUGUAAAGUUCUUUCGGUAUUGAGGAAGGUUGAUGUGUUAAUAGCACAUCAAAUUGACGUUAAAUACAGAAGAAGCACCGGCUAACUCCGUGCCAGCAGCCGCGGUAAUACGGAGGGUGCGAGCGUUAAUCGGAAUAACUGGGCGUAAAGGGCACGCAGGCGGUUAUUUAAGUGAGGUGUGAAAGCCCUGGGCUUAACCUAGGAAUUGCAUUUCAGACUGGGUAACUAGAGUACUUUAGGGAGGGGUAGAAUUCCACGUGUAGCGGUGAAAUGCGUAGAGAUGUGGAGGAAUACCGAAGGCGAAGGCAGCCCCUUGGGAAUGUACUGACGCUCAUGUGCGAAAGCGUGGGGAGCAAACAGGAUUAGAUACCCUGGUAGUCCACGCUGUAAACGCUGUCGAUUUGGGGGUUGGGGUUUAACUCUGGCGCCCGUAGCUAGCGUGAUAAAUCGACCGCCUGGGGAGUACGGCCGCAAGGUUA
This 547-nucleotide ribosomal RNA is filed under the name uncultured bacterium. RNAcentral's name for it is "bacterial SSU rRNA". It matches the Rfam family "Bacterial small subunit ribosomal RNA", at positions 355 to 896 of the family's 1533-position model. The record is from RNAcentral.